RNAcentral lists this long non-coding RNA (670 nucleotides) under Sparus aurata (gilthead seabream). RNAcentral describes it as "lncRNA (ENSSAUG00010014267.1)". The record is from RNAcentral. Lineage: Eukaryota; Metazoa; Chordata; Actinopteri; Spariformes; Sparidae.
AGCCGGGCUGCCCGGCGUUUAACACACUCCCUCAGGGACACGCUCGAUAACUCACAGUCCGGGAAAUGCGGCUGAAUACCAAAUGAAAACAGAAGUUCCCUUUGUUUUAUUAACUGUUGUUAUUAUCAGCACUUCCAGAUACCCCAUAUUCCCCUGACAAAUCGGCGGCCAUGUCGUUAUUUAGGUGGAGGGGAACGGGAGAAAAACGUUCGACUGCCACUGCGGCUCUGUAACAGUUCAUUUUCUCUGUAAUGGAUCUGGGCUUUUUUUUUUUUUACUAAAGGAGGGCUGCGUGUCGGAGGCUGGAGACAAAACACUGAGGAGGUGGAGACUCUGCUGGAUCCAGCUGAAGGGGCUACAGGGGCGGUGGCAGCCAUUAGAUUUGGCAGCCCCGACAUCACUCCGGCCUUGGAUGUAAAGGAGUACUACUGCCAGCUGGCCGAGGGCCUCCAGGUACCGCACACACACACACACACACACACACACACACACACACACACACACACACACACACACACACACUGUGUAACAUAAAACACAUCAACAUGUCAUGUCGCCUCCUUGUGCCAAAGGUUUUACUGAAGCAUUCUUGUGUUCAUCUUUAGACUCACGCUCCUAUUUCUGCACAUGAACGACCUCAAACAAACCUCACACACACCAGGACAUUUAC